UCCCAGGUGGCUCAGCGGUAAAGCGCCUGCCUGCCAAGCAGGAGAUGCAGGUUCGAUCCCUGAGUCAGGAA
Non-coding RNA from Cervus elaphus (red deer), 71 nucleotides. Lineage: Eukaryota; Metazoa; Chordata; Mammalia; Artiodactyla; Cervidae. The record is from the annotation of a RefSeq genome assembly.